This 292-nucleotide ribosomal RNA is filed under the name uncultured bacterium. Its description in RNAcentral is "partial 16S ribosomal RNA". It matches the Rfam family "Bacterial small subunit ribosomal RNA", at positions 505 to 796 of the family's 1533-position model. The record is from RNAcentral.
GUGUCAGCCGCCGCGGUAAAACGUAGGAGCCAAGCGUUAUCCGAAUUCACUGGGCGUAAAGCGCGUGCAGGCGGACCGGUAAGUUGGAUGUAAAAUCUCCUGGCUCAACUGGGAGAGGCCGUUCAAUACUACCGGACUAGAGGGCGACAGAGGGAGGUGGAAUUCCGGGUGUAGUGGUGAAAUGCGUAGAUAUCCGGAGGAACACCAGAGGCGAAGGCGACCUCCUGGGUCGAACCUGACGCUCAGACGCGAAAGCUAGGGGAGCGAACGGGAUUAGAAACCCUCGUAGUCC